AUUUAACACUGUUUCCUUAUUUUGAUGCUCUGGAAGUUUUUAUGCCUAGGAGGAAUUUUUCACAGUAAAAUUAUAGGUGUAUUUCUUUUGAAUAGUAAGGGCAAGGGCUGUUUGGAAAGAAAAAUUGAACAAAGCCAUGAAAUUUAUAUAUACAAGUUGAAGAUUUAGAAGUCAAUUCCUGUGUAUUCCUUGCUAAAAUUGUGCACACUAUAGGAGGUGCUGUUAUACUAGCCUGUAUUCACUCUCAGGUUCUAUUUCCUAGGUGAAACAAUCCAGGGUCUUAAAUAUCACUUCAGUUUCUGCCCACUCAUCUCAAGUCAGAGUCAACUAAAGGAGUUAGACAAUGACCCUUUGGAGCCUGAUGAGACAGGGAAUCAUGUGGCCACAUUCAUAAGUUAUGUAAGUAUUCUCAGUACUGGAUUGCCCUAUAGACACACCAAGCCUAGGCUAGAGGGGUUCCCACUGAAUCAAAUUAUUGAGGGUUUGAAUCCAGGAAUUUAUAUUUUAGAAACACUCCAGAAAAUUCUAGUGAUCAACCUGGUGUAGGAGCUACUAUCACUUAGUGAUUAGAAGUUGAGGGAGAAAGAGGGAAAGGAAAGAGUCACAGAAUCACCUGGAGGAUUUUUCAUACUAUACAGCACUUCUUUAUUCUAUUACUCCUUAGGUUGUCAAUUUCUCCAUUAAAGAGUAAAGAUCUAGAACUGUUUGUUUUGUUGAUGAGGUGUGUUUCCUCCUCUGGACUAAGACUAAUUUUUUAAUUCUUAAAAUAAUUAAUUUUUAAAAAGAUUUUAUUUAUUUAUUUAUUUUAGAGCACACAAGUGGUGAGAGGAGCAAAAAGGGAGGGAGAGGAAAGGGAAAGAAUCUCAAGGAGACUCUGCACUGAGCAUAGAACCCGACAUGGGAUUUGAUCUCACAACCCCAAGACCACAACCUGAGUCGAAACCACGAGUAGGAUGCUUAACUGACUGAGCCACCCAGGCACCCCAAUAAUUAUUUGAUUUUUGAGCUAAUUUUUAAAAUAAGCAAUGAGGAAGAAAAGCUUCAGGAUUCCUAGGUACUUACACCAGGCAUUUUUCUAAUGUCUGUCUUUCUCUACCCAAAAUUAUAUCAGAUAAUACUCAAAUACUUUUGCACUGCUUUUAAGAUUUUUUAAUUCCAAAGUUAUAGCAUAUUUAUGCCUCUCCUUUGGUAAGAGACAGUUCCAUAGAAUUUUGCCCUUAAGUGAUGAUUGCCUCAAAGAGGAAAAAUUUCUGACUCAUUCUUACACAUUGCUUUUGAAAAGAAAUGACUGGCAGUAUUGAAAUUCUAUCAUACUUCUUUAACCAAUUUGAGGUUGGUACAAUAUGAAGACCCUCUCUUCUCUUUUAAUAGUAGUAUGAUUGAUGAGCAGAAAAUCAACCAAAUAAACAAACAAACUUGAUUUGGACA
This 1428-nucleotide long non-coding RNA is filed under the name Vulpes vulpes (red fox). RNAcentral's name for it is "lncRNA (ENSVVUG00000024638.1)". The record is from RNAcentral. Lineage: Eukaryota; Metazoa; Chordata; Mammalia; Carnivora; Canidae.